This 28-nucleotide unclassified non-coding RNA is filed under the name Euglena gracilis. RNAcentral describes it as "trans-spliced leader". Lineage: Eukaryota; Euglenozoa; Euglenophyceae; Euglenales; Euglenaceae. The record is from RNAcentral.
ACACUUUCUGAGUGUCUAUUUUUUUUCG